Molecule: unclassified non-coding RNA, 381 nt
Filed under: fungal sp.
Lineage: Eukaryota; Fungi
Description: partial internal transcribed spacer region
Rfam family: Eukaryotic small subunit ribosomal RNA (bases 1-46)
Source: RNAcentral
AAGUCGUAACAAGGUUUCCGUAGGUGAACCUGCGGAAGGAUCAGUAACAUCUUUGUUAUCACCAAUAUCAACCUAAUGUGAACCUCAUCUCCCUAUUCAUUGUGAGGAUGAGAUUUGGCUUCGGCCGAAUCAAAUUCUCACAAUGCGGUAGGCACCCUUUCGUUUUCACCCAGUAGUCAUGUACUACGCUUCUGUGACCAUCUUCGGAGGGUUCCAGAAGUCCUCUGGUGCAUGAUGACCGGUUAUUACUCACCAAUUUUAACCCUAUAAUUUACAACCUGUCUCAUCUUCGAAAGCUUGAUUGUGCUGCUCAUCUGAGUGGUAUUGAUUAAGAUUUUACGAAAUCCUGCACAACUCUUAGCAAUGGAUAUCUUGGGUCAU